RNAcentral lists this ribosomal RNA (429 nucleotides) under Gemmatimonadota bacterium. RNAcentral's name for it is "Gemmatimonadetes bacterium partial 16S ribosomal RNA". It matches the Rfam family "Bacterial small subunit ribosomal RNA", at positions 355 to 776 of the family's 1533-position model. The record is from RNAcentral. Lineage: Bacteria; Pseudomonadati; Gemmatimonadota.
UAGGGAAUCUUCGGCAAUGGACGAAAGUCUGACCGAGCAACGCCGCGGGAGUGAAGAAGGUUUUCGGAUCGUAAAACUCUGUUGUUAGAGAAGAACAAGGACGUUAGUAACUGAACGUCCCCUGACGGUAUCUAACCAGAAAGCCACGGCUAACUACGUGCCAGCAGCCGCGGUAAUACGUAGGUGGCAAGCGUUGUCCGGAUUUCUUGGGCGUAAAGCGAGCGGAGGCGGUUUCUUAAGUCUGAUGUGAAAGCCCCCGGCUCAACCGGGGAGGGUCAUUGGAAACUGGGAGACUUGAGUGCAGAAGAGGGGAGUGGAAUUCCAGGUGUAGCGGUGAAAUGCGUAGAUAUAUGGAGGAACACCAGUGGCGAAGGCGGCUCUCUGGUCUGUAACUGCCGCUGGGGGUCGAAGGCGUGGGGAGCAAACAGG